GACGAACGCUGGCGGCGUGCUUAACGCAUGCAAGUCGAACGGAAAGGCCCUGCUUUUGUGGGGUGCUCGAGUGGCGAACGGGUGAGUAACACGUGAGUAACCUGCCCUUGACUUUGGGAUAACUUCAGGAAACUGGGGCUAAUACCGGAUAGGAGCUCCUGCUGCAUGGUGGGGGUUGGAAAGUUUCGGCGGUUGGGGAUGGACUCGCGGCUUAUCAGCUUGUUGGUGGGGUAGUGGCUUACCAAGGCUUUGACGGGUAGCCGGCCUGAGAGGGUGACCGGCCACAUUGGGACUGCGAUACGGCCCAGACUCCUACGGGAGGCAGCAGUGGGGAAUAUUGCACAAUGGGCGGAAGCCUGAUGCAGCAACGCCGCGUGCGGGAUGACGGCCUUCGGGUUGUAAACCGCUUUCGCCUGUGACGAAGCGUGAGUGACGGUAAUGGGUAAAGAAGCACCGGCUAACUACGUG
RNAcentral lists this ribosomal RNA (468 nucleotides) under uncultured bacterium. Its description in RNAcentral is "partial 16S ribosomal RNA". It matches the Rfam family "Bacterial small subunit ribosomal RNA", at positions 28 to 507 of the family's 1533-position model. The record is from RNAcentral.